Rattus norvegicus (Norway rat) is the source of this 2563-nucleotide long non-coding RNA. RefSeq lists it as uncharacterized. The record is from RefSeq and is a predicted model, not a curated record. NCBI's taxonomy places the organism in Eukaryota, Metazoa, Chordata, Mammalia, Rodentia, Muridae.
GAGGGGGGUCCAGGAAUGAGGAAGGCCUUUGUGAGAGAAACCGAGUUGUGGAAGAGUCUCGGCCCUGCUUUUGAACUCUGCUGCUUCCACAAAGAAGCCAAACUCCAGGGAAAGAACUGCCCCAAAGCCAUCGCUUCCCACACUCCAUUACCUAUGACUGGGACCUUCCCAGGCUGCCCCCACAUACCCCAUUAAAUAAGAGCCCCUUAGCACUGGAUCAACCCUGGAUGUGCACCUAAACUGCUCUUUGAGGCAAGGCAAAAUGCCGGGAAGGAAACUGAAUUUAAACAGGUAGCCUAGAAAAAAUUGGCAAACACAGACAUACGAGGAACUCACAACUGUUGUCAUCCCUAUACCCUAUGUGAAAGAAACGAUGAUGCAUCACUUUAAAUGGAUUAUACAGGCAAAACCAGCCACCUUCAGAUAUGACAAAGUAUUUACAAGUAUGCUUGGAUUGCAUAGAUGUGCAGUAAUUUAAUUUCGUCAUGAACAAUUAUUCACAGAGGGGGCCAUGGGAAUGUAUUCCCUGAGCUAGCCACCUCCAGACCCAGCAUGGCACAUCGGGAAGUCUGAGUAAAGAAAGGCCUCUUCUGUCACCAUUACUCCCCAGUUCCCUCCAAUACCAAGAACUCCACCGUACUCAGGAUUCUGUGGAUCAGAUCCUUCCAGAACACUGGGCUCAGACACUGCUGACUAAUAUUACUUGGUUGCUUGGUAACCAACAGCUGAAUUCUGCUGCACUGAUCCUGGGUAUGGAAACCAGGAAAUCACAACAAUGUUGUGCUGUCAGCACUAGAACCACAAGGGAAGUGGAACUGGGAUUCUGGAAAAGGAGGUGCCCUUUUUUGUUUUUAGCAAGGCUACAAAAAGUGGCUAUGGGGAAAUCGGUGUCUUUCCGGGGUUUUAAUCGUGACAGUUUGAAAGCCCCUAUUAAAUUCAAGCAUAAGGCUGAGUCAUACCUGAGUAUUAGACUUGGGAGGCAAACGCAUUUAGAAGAGGAGGGGGAGAGGAGGAGGAAAAGGGGGAGGAAGAAGAGGAGAAGGAGGAGGAGGAGGAGGAACAUACUAUCAGAACACUCCUUUGAAAUUAAUGGGAAGAACAUAGCUUGUGUGGGCAGAGAGUGAGGUCACCUCUUCGGAAUAAAAGUUGUACAUAAGAAGGAAUUAGAAAUGACACAAAGUAUUCAGCUAACUCAGAACUCAAAUCUUAUAUUCUAGUUGGAAUCUUAAACGGCAGAUGACACAUUAGGAAAACAUUAUGUCAGCAGGGAAAUGCUCUUAUUAGCACCGAGAUUUAAUGGUUUUCCCCACCUCAUGGUAACCUGUUAAAGAUCGUCUGUAAGAACCUGAUCGCUUCAGUCUUUCAUACAGAGUGUACUGAAUUUUAGUUUCCCCCAAAUCAGCACCGCGCACGGGCUGAUGCCCUUGUGUGUGAAUACGUGUUGAUUUUUACCUUGCCGUCUGGAACAGAGUCAUCAAAUAUUCCCUCUAAAGAUCUCUUUACAGCAUCGGUCCCCUCUCCAAACACCUGCAUAGACAAAAGCAUCAUCUUAAAAAAGGGAAAUCUGGUCAACAGGACAAAGGAAGCACGGAACUCUGAAUGAUGGGAGAGGCUUUCGGAAACCACAGCAGGGCUCAGGCGCUCCUGGAUCCCAGAGAAGUUGUUGGCUGCAAUUCUCAGAGUUAACCGUAAGGGAAUCCUGUGAUCCAGUCAGCUUUGCUCAAGGGCAUCAUCACAUGUGGAUUACACUGGUGAUCUGGUGAAAGCCUCACAAAUGUUGAGCUCUGGGCUGUGCACACCACGGUAGUCCAUGAAAUGAAGACUCAAUCCAAAGAGACCCAAGUCCCUCGUCCAAGUAGUUGGAGGGCAUUCACUUCCCGAUGUCAAUGGGGACAGAGGACAGUCAUGGGGAGCGACAGCAGCUGGAGAGAGGCCUCAACUAGAAGAGUGAAGAGAAAGGCCACUGGUCCCUGUUACACAGGGCUCCACCAAGCAUCAGCCCAGACCAAGUUGCCUUUGAUCCAGCAUCAGAGAUGGCUUAUGAAGAUUAUAUUUAAUGUUUACUUGGCUUCCUAUGGAACCUGCUCUGUUCUGAGGACUUACGGGAAUUCUGCACUUUCUUUGGUAGGUCUGUAAUUAACCAGAGUUUGGGUAGGGGGCAGGUGGGAGAUGGAUGUCGAUGACAGACUAAUGGCACAGCUCCAUGUUUGGGCUAUAAACUACUUAUUAAAAACUGGCAGAACUAAAGUGUCAAGUUGAUUUAAAAUGUCAGUAAAGAGACACACACACACAAGGACACUCACAGAUACACACGUGCACGCACCCACACACACGUGCACACUCACACAAGGACACUCACAGAUAUACACACACACAAAGACACAUACAUGCACACUCACACACACACACACACAAGGACACUCACAGAUACACAUGCACACUCACACACAGACACACACACAGGGGCACUCACAGACACGCACAUGCAUGCAGGCACACAUGACCAACACAGAAGCAACAUUAGUGGGUGGAUCCUUUGUGCGGACUCUGGGACCUACCUGGU